This 1959-nucleotide long non-coding RNA is filed under the name Vulpes vulpes (red fox). RNAcentral's name for it is "lncRNA (ENSVVUG00000021842.1)". The record is from RNAcentral. Lineage: Eukaryota; Metazoa; Chordata; Mammalia; Carnivora; Canidae.
CGCCAGCCUUUUUUUUGCCCCUGCCUCCCUCACAAAGAAAAGUCUUGUCUUUCUUGUCCUUUGCGUUCAAAGUGUUUAUAUGAAUUUACAGAAGCUCUUUAUAUAUUACAAGUAUUGUAUUUUAUUAACCUUUACAUAUUAUUAUUGCUAACCUACAUUGAAAAUAUUUAUAUCAGUUUAUCUUUAACAUGGUUAGAUUACAAUAAUAUUCUAGUAAUGUAGGAGUUGUAUAUUUAAGUUAAGAACCUUCCCCUAUCUGGAAUUUGUUCUUGUGAAUGUUGUGUGUUAAGUGUUAUGCUAUAUGUUGGCAAAUUGAACUCCAAUAAAAAAAAUAAAAUCAGAUCCAAAAGCUAAAAAAAGUGGAAUUUCUUUAAAAUUCCUCAGGAUGCCUAGGUGUCUCAGUUAGUUAAGCAUCUGACUCCUGGACUCAGCUCAGGUCAUGAUCUCAAGGUUGUGAGAUUGAGUCCUGCAUUGGACUCCAUGCUCCACAAGGAGUCUAUUUCAGAUUUUCUCUCCCCCUCCCUCCCUCUUCUUCUCCCCCAGCUUGUGCUUGUUCUAUCUCAUAAAUAAAUAAGUAAGUAAAAUCUUUAAAAUUCCCCAAAGAGUUGGGUGUGGAAGCUAAAAGCUAAGAGAAGAGAUAGACCAAGAGACCCAUCUUUCUUGGAUGCGUGAGUGGGAGAAGCUUGUUUGCUGAAAGCAUAGAGGAUUAUGCCCUUUGCCAGCUUAUAAUUCCAUCUGCUUCCUGCUGAGAAUGACUCUCAAACUCUGUGUCUUUAGAGCCAGUCUUUCCUGUGUGAUGUUAGUCCAGGCUUCAGAAGUUUGGAUAUGUUCAUUUUGUUGCAUGUGGGGGCAAGCUGAAGAAUCACUGUAGACCAUGAGGACUGUGUUUCAGAGGCGGCCUGGACUCUCCUGUCCCCAAUGUCCAGCCCUGCCCUGGCAGGAUGGAGCCAGCUUAGUGACAAGACUGUCCCUUACUACAAGUCUUGAGGAUGCAGUCCCUAACUGGACGACACACCACACCAUUACUCUGUCAUUAUGGAAGAAGAGAAUGGAAACUGUAUUGUCAUAAUAAAUCUUAGCUAUGAUCACAACUAUAUGCUGAAACCUGUAAGUGCUCCUAGCCAGUCUCUGAACACAGGGGUGGCCUUGGGGACCACCACCACAUAGGCCCACCAGUAGUGAGAGUUCUCAUAGCCACAUCACUUCACUGGAUUUGAUACUUUUUAUGGACCAAAUAUUUGUCUUCCCCUAAAAUUCAUAUAUUGAAAUCUAAUCUCCAAUGUAAUCGUGUUAGAAGGUGGGGGUCUUUAGGAGGUAAUUAGGUCAUGAGGGUGGAGCCUUUAUGAAUGGGAGGAGUGCCCUUAUAAGGAGAGGCUAGAAAGCUAGACCACUCUCUUUCUGCCUACGAGGAUACAACAGAGUCAGCCAUCUGCAAGCCAGAAGAAGACUCUCACCAAAGCCUGGCCAUGUUGACACCCUGACUUCUAGCCUCUAGAACUGUGAGGAGUACAUUUCUGUUGGCCGUAAGCCACCCAGUCUGUGGUACCUUGUUAUAGCAGCCCACGCUUAUAGGUGGGCUUACUGUGGGCUUACUGACGUAAGACAGUAUUAUUGGACUUUCUAAUCUUUGCCAACCUGAUAGGUGUGAAGUAGUAUCCUGUUAAUUUGAAUUUCUAUUUCCUUGAUUACUAGUGAGAUUAAACAUCUUUUUAUGUUUAGUGACAAUUUGGGUUUCUUCUUCUGUGAAGUGCCUAUUCGGAUUCCUUGCUCAUUUUUCUUCUGGGCUGUUUGUCUUAUUGAAUCAUAGGAGUUCCUUAUAUAUGGAUACUAGGCGGGAAGAGAUGGUUAAACACAGGGAGAUAGGAAAAUGAAGGCCUUUUAGGGAUUUGGUUUGGCUGAAUUAUACAUAUAUAAUGGGGACUGACAAGGAAUAAAGCUGAAAGGGUAAACUGGGGAACA